RNAcentral lists this ribosomal RNA (491 nucleotides) under uncultured bacterium. RNAcentral describes it as "partial 16S ribosomal RNA". It matches the Rfam family "Bacterial small subunit ribosomal RNA", at positions 29 to 507 of the family's 1533-position model. The record is from RNAcentral.
AGUGGACGCUGGCGGUAGGCCUAACACAUGCAAGUCGAACGGCAGCACAGUAAGAGCUUGCUCUUACGGGUGGCGAGUGGCGGACGGGUGAGGAAUACAUCGGAAUCUACUUUUUCGUGGGGGAUAACGUAGGGAAACUUACGCUAAUACCGCAUACGACCUACGGGUGAAAGCAGGGGAUCUUCGGACCUUGCGCGAUUGAAUGAGCCGAUGUCGGAUUAGCUAGUUGGCGGGGUAAAGGCCCACCAAGGCGACGAUCCGUAGCUGGUCUGAGAGGAUGAUCAGCCACACUGGAACUGAGACACGGUCCAGACUCCUACGGAGGCAGCAGUGGGGAAUAUUGGACAAUGGGCGCAAGCCUGAUCCAGCCAUACCGCGUGGGUGAAGAAGGCCUUCGGGUUGUAAAGCCCUUUUGUUGGGAAAGAAAAGCAGCAGGUUAAUACCCCGCUGUUCUGACGGUACCCAAAGAAUAAGCACCGGCUAACUUCGUG